Molecule: ribosomal RNA, 102 nt
Filed under: uncultured bacterium
Lineage: Bacteria
Description: partial 16S ribosomal RNA
Rfam family: Bacterial small subunit ribosomal RNA
Source: RNAcentral
UACACACCGCCCGUCACAUCACGAAAAGUCGGUUGCACUAGAAGUUGGUGGGCUAACCCGCAAGGGAGGCAGCCGCCUAAAGUGUGAUCGGUAAUUGGGGUG